UAAAAAACUGGCGGCGGCUUACCAUGCAAGUCCCACGGUAGCAGGAGAAAGCUUGCUUUCUUGCUGACGAGUGGCGGACGGGUGAGUAAUGCUUGGGAAUCUGGCUUAUGGAGGGGGAUAACUACUGGAAACGGUAGCUAAUACCGCGUAAUAUCGGAAGAUUAAAGGGUGGGACCGAAAGGCCACCUGCCAUAAGAUGAGCCCAAGUGGGAUUAGGUAGUUGGUGGGGUAAAGGCCUACCAAGCCGACGAUCUCUAGCUGGUCUGAGAGGAUGACCAGCCACACUGGAACUGAGACACGGUCCAGACUCCUACGGGAGGCAGCAGUGGGGAAUAUUGCACAAUGGGGGGAACCCUGAUGCAGCCAUGCCGCGUGAAUGAAGAAGGCCUUCGGGUUGUAAAGUUCUUUCGGUGAUGAGGAAGGUAUCAAAUUUAAUAGAUUUGGUAAUUGACGUUAGUCACAGAAGAAGCACCGGCUAACUCCGUGCCAGCAGCCGCGGUAAU
RNAcentral lists this ribosomal RNA (503 nucleotides) under uncultured bacterium. Its description in RNAcentral is "bacterial SSU rRNA". It matches the Rfam family "Bacterial small subunit ribosomal RNA", at positions 36 to 524 of the family's 1533-position model. The record is from RNAcentral.